UCGCGUCUUACGACGGCAGUUUCAUUAGAGUUCCCAGCUUUACCUGAUGGCAACUAAAGACGAGGGUUGCGCUCGUUGCGGGACUUAACCCAACAUCUCACGACACGAGCUGACGACAGCCAUGCAGCACCUGUGUCCAGGCCCCGUAAGGGGAGGAAUCCAUCUCUGGAAACCGUCCUGGCAUGUCAAACGCUGGUAAGGUUCUGCGCGUUGCUUCGAAUUAAAGAACAUGAUCCACCGCUUGUGCGGGUCCCCGUCAAUUCCUUUGAGUUUUAACCUUGCGGCCGUACUCCCCAGGCGGAUGACUUAACGCGUUAGCUGCGCCACCGAAACGCUAAGCGCUCCGACAGCUAGUCAUCAUCGUUUACGGCGUGGACUAC
Molecule: unclassified non-coding RNA, 380 nt
Filed under: uncultured Sphingomonadaceae bacterium
Lineage: Bacteria; Pseudomonadati; Pseudomonadota; Alphaproteobacteria; Sphingomonadales; Sphingomonadaceae
Description: contains 16S-23S intergenic spacer region
Source: RNAcentral